Molecule: small RNA, 635 nt
Filed under: Pan troglodytes (chimpanzee)
Lineage: Eukaryota; Metazoa; Chordata; Mammalia; Primates; Hominidae
Description: retained intron
Source: RNAcentral
CUCACACAGAAACAGAUGAGAAACAAACAGAGAGCCGCACCAUCACCCCACCUGCUGCACCCAAACCAAAACGGGAGGAGAACCCUCAGAAACUUGCCUUCAUGGUGUCUCUAGGGUUGGUAACACAUGACCAUCUAGAAGAAAUCCAAAGCAAGAGGCAAGAGCGAAAAAGAAGAACAACAGCAAAUCCGGUCUACAGUGGAGCAGUCUUUGAGCCAGAGCGUAAGAAGAGUGCAGUGACAUACCUAAACAGCACAAUGCACCCUGGGACCCGGAAGAGAGCCAAUGAGGAACACUGGCCAAAGGUAUGUAAGAUCAUUUUCCCCCUCUCUUUCCCUCCCCCUUUUUCCCUUUUGUUCCCUUCUCUUGGUAUAUAGGUCGUCCUCCAAAAUACAAUGCAGUGCUGGGGUUUGGAGCCCUUACCCCAACAUCCCCCCAAUCCAGUCAUCCUGACUCCCCUGAAAAUGAAAAGACAGAGACCACAUUCACUUUCCCUGCACCUGUUCAGCCUGUGUCCCUGCCCAGCCCCACCUCCACAGACGGUGAUAUUCAUGAGGAUUUUUGCAGCGUUUGCAGAAAAAGUGGCCAGUUACUGAUGUGCGACACAUGUUCCCGUGUAUAUCAUUUGGACUGCU